Molecule: long non-coding RNA, 913 nt
Organism: Sardina pilchardus (European sardine)
Lineage: Eukaryota; Metazoa; Chordata; Actinopteri; Clupeiformes; Clupeidae
Exons: 4
Source: RefSeq, a predicted model, not a curated record
GAAACAGCUGAUUUCUGUAUCUCUGAGCUGGUCACAUGCAUUUUCACAUCUGGUGUUUUGUUGGGUUGAGAUCAAGUUGAGAUUGAAUCUAUUCCCAUUGUGUGUGGAUGUGUUUAGCGGGUCAUGUGCAACACCAUAGAGCUCUUGUUGACACUACCAUUGCUGAUCCCAGAACUCAGACCUAAUACAUAACCAGGACAGUGAGGACAGGCUUAUUCCCAUGGCCAUAUACUGUACCAUCAAAAACAACCAGAAGAUGACACUAAAACCAGUAGCCUAUAACGACAUACCUCAGAAGAGGCCCAUUGCUGUUGCUUUAAGGUGUGCAGGUGUUUGUAUGCAUAAGUAGGCCGAUGUUCACAGCAGCAUCAUUCCAAAUGUAUACAUCCCAUCACUGGAGGCCAGGGAGUCCCAGUAUCUGCAAUGCAGGGGAAGUGAUUCAACUGUUACUCUAGAAUUAGGCUUGGGGAGUAGAGGAUUUAAACGAUUAUCUGUGUUUGAUGAAAUGAAUGGACGACAAUAAUCUUCUUUUGAACCCAUUCAUAAGUUAUUUCCCCAGUUUUUUUCUGUUAAACUUUGAACCAUUUGGCUGUAUACAGGGAUGCCAGAUUUCAGUCCAGAGCUAGACAGGGAGGGAGGAGAUCAUACUAGUAUAAUAGGAUUACAUACAGUUUUUGUCCUUGUCAUGUUUUUUCCUGCAAUUAUAUCAUGUCAGACUCUCCAGUAUUAGUAAACUCCCCAGUAUUAGCUCAAUGGAUUGCAAUGGACUGGCCAAUUCAAUUCAAUUCUUGAAUUUCCCCUUGGGGAUCAAUAAAGUAGCCUAUAUCUAUCUAUCUAUCUAUCUAUCAAUUGCUACAUUUAUUAAUGAACAAUUAACUAUUUACUGAGUUGCCAUUUAGCAAUCGUGAUCACU